RNAcentral lists this ribosomal RNA (313 nucleotides) under Lipomyces starkeyi. RNAcentral describes it as "25S ribosomal RNA". It matches the Rfam family "Eukaryotic large subunit ribosomal RNA", at positions 302 to 637 of the family's 3401-position model. The record is from RNAcentral. Lineage: Eukaryota; Fungi; Ascomycota; Lipomycetes; Lipomycetales; Lipomycetaceae.
AAUUCCAUCUNAAGCUNAAUAUUGGCGAGAGACCGAUAGCGAACAAGUACAGUGAUGGAAAGAUGAAAAGAACUCCGAAAGGAGNGUGAAAAAGGACGUGAAAUUGUUGAAAGNGAAGUGCUUGAGAUCAGUCUUAAGGUUUAGUGAUCAGUCUUCCNNUUGGUUGGUGCNCUNACUNUUUCUUAGGCCAACAUCAGUUUUGGCGGCAGGAUAAUGACAUUGGAAUGUGGCUCUUUCGGGAGUGUUAUAGCCUUUGUUGAUACUGCNNGCUUAGACUGAGGACUGCGCNNUUGCUAGGAUGUUGGCAUAAUGA